ACCUCUGUUACAUGGCCACUUCAAUGUUUUUUAAACUUAUUUGAACUCCGGACUUCUUUUGUGUUCAGUAUGCAGCAUUUAAAGCGACGUCAUCAAUUUCCAACAUGUUCUGACAUCAUUUGUUGUUUUUCGGUCAUUUACCUAAUUGUUUAGAGAGCUAAAUGACCGUGAAAUUGAAAAUCACUACAAAAUGAAUCCUGAAAAUGUUGAAACUUGGCAUGGUAUCAUCGUAUCACCCGCAUAGCAUGCGCGAAAGAGUAGAGAGGGUCACGGCAAAAACUGGACGCACUUCGUGUACAAACUGGACAAACUCUUUCCGAGUAUCAGGGUUUCGGACGAGAACUCAUCUGUUACAUGGCCACUUCAAUGUUUUUUAAACUUAUUUGAACUCCAGACUUCUUUUGUGUUCAGUAUGCAGCAUUUAAAGCGACGUCAUCAAUUUCCAACAUGUUCUGGCAUCAUUUUUUCGGUCAUUUACCUAAUUGUUUAGAGAGCUAAAUGACCGUGAAAUUGAAAAUCACUACAAAAUGAAUCCUGAAAAUGUUGAAACUUGGCAUGGUAUCAUCGUAUCACCCGCAUAGCAUGCGCGAAAGAGUAGAGAGGGUCACGGCAAAUAAAUAAUGCAGAAAAGAAAAAAACUAUAUAAAAAACUACUCAAAAAUAAAUAAAAGAAAAUAACUAAUGCAGAAAAGAAAAAACUAUAUAAAAAAUUUGUUGGCGCACUGCCCUAUGGGUCUACCAGACCUAGGGUGUGCAAAUGCAGGCCCAGAAGGGCCAACAGACUCACAGGGCAGCGCGUCCUAAUUAAUUAGGCCUAGAAGCCUGCUAUAUAGAGGAGUUCGAAGAGGUAGCCGCGGCUGGGUUUAUAAACCAGUGCGGCUGCCCUUCGCCGGGCGAGGUGGGACUAAAUUUUGGGGUGGCAGCGCAAACUCAAAAUACAGAAAAAAACAACUAAAAAUAAAUAAAACAAAAUAAAUAAAGCAGAAAAGAAAAAACUAAAUGAAAAAAGCCCACCUACUGGGCCACAGCGGCCUGCAUACGACUAGAAACCCAACCUGUUGUUGGGCCAGGAUGCAGGCCCGCAAGCCCAAUAGGCCCCACAGGGCAGAGUAGUAGAGGUAGGCCCAGAAGGCUUGCUUUAGAGAGGAGCUCGAGACAGCAGCGGCGGCGGGGCUUAUAAGCAGGUGUGUGCGCCCUUCGGCUAGCAAGGUGGGACUAAACUUCUGCGCCCCUCGCCUGGCAGCGCACACCCUUUAGUACCGGUUGGUGGCUCCAACCGGGUACUAAAGGCCCCCCUUUAGUACCGGUUGGUGGCUCCAACCGGUACUAAAAGCCUUCGUUUCCCGCCGCUUGGCCUGGGGAAAAUAGGCCUUUAGUACCGGUUGGAGCCACGAACCGGUACUAAAGGCCAAUCCUAUAUAUAUAGCACUUACGAAAAUUUCAGUUUCAACGCCGCAUUUCGUCUCCAACCUCCGCCGCGCGCGCCGCUUGAUCCCGUCGUCGCCGCCCGUCGCCCGUACCGUCGUCCGUCGUCAUCGUCGCUGUCCCCGCCGCCGCCCGUCAUCAUCGUCGUCUCGCGCUGCCGCCCCGAACGCCGCCGCCGUCCGUCGUCAUCGCCGCGGCCGUACGUCUCUCUCUCGCUCCCGCACACACAUACACACACAUACACACACACCGACGCCCCCGCCCCGUACGCCGGCGCCCCCGCUCGUACGUACGGGGCGGCGGCAUAUGGGGCCGCACACACACACACAUAUACCACACACACACACGCAUACACACACACAUACACACAUACGUACACACAUAUACGUAUAUAUACACACACACAAUUUUUUUUACUUAUUUUCUGUUUUUUUAGAAAAGUUAAUUAGAUGAUCGAAUUUUAGAUUAAUGUCGAAUGUUAGAUGAAUUAGCUAGCUAGAUAGAAAAAUUGUCGAACUAGAGAUUAGAACUAGUUGAAUAAUNNNNNNNNNNAGAGAGAGAGAGAGAGAGAGAGAGAGAGAGAGAGGAGCAUACAUAAUCCUGCAGUGGAGGGCAGUGUCUCGGAACUUCUCUAUGACGUGGAGGGAGGGAGCUCCAAAUGAGUCAGCUCUCGGCUGCAAUGACUUGAUGGAGGUACGAGUGGGUGUGGACAUGGACCGGGCUAGCUUAUAUACGUGAACUUGUUAGGUGAUUAUUACAACUUUUCCUCUCGAUACAUGCAUUACUUAUUUUUUUAAAGAGGAUCUGCAUUGGACGCGUGGUGGCUGGUACGUCACUACCUCACUGAAGAUCAGACCCUAGUUCGUUGCUCUAUUAAUUUUAGUAGACGACUCGCUGCGUCAAUUGAUGUAGAGACAAACUACAUGCUGGAAGUUAAAUGGACUGUUUGAAAGAUUUUUUCUUCAAGUGUCUGCAAAUGAUUAUGAUCAUACUGCUCCCUCAUUUGCCUUGACGAUGAUCAUUAUCCAUAACUUUCUUUGCCGACUUACUUUUGAUGGCACAUAUAGUAGACACUCCUUUAGUGAAUCAUUCCGAAAGGACGACCAAGAAGGUGAAAUGACUAAAUUGACGCAGAGACCAACUGCAGACCAGAAGGUAAGGAAACUAUAUAUCUCUGACACUGCAGCCAAGAAGUAAAACAAUACUACAGACAACACGUCGAACAGAUGUUUGUUCUGUAAAUAAUCUCCAAAGGCCAUUAGCAUGGAUAAGAAUAUAUACGGGAAUGGUGUAAAUGAUUAGAUGUGAAUGAACAAAUGGAAACAAGAAUAUAAGCCAUAAAAUAGCCUUUUGGAGGCGGCUUUGGAGGUUGGUUGGCCUGUCGUGCUAUUGCAGUGUUCCGAGUUGGGGUUGCCUAAGUGGACCCGUCCUUUUGCGCGUGUCACGACAUGGGGCUUUGUUCAAGCUCCCAGGCACGCACUCUUUUGUGCAGCUAUGGUUGAGCCAACCAUUAUUUUGGUCCGGGCAGUGGCCUAACCGCCAGAUGCCAUGGUCUUCUGCGCCAGUUCCGCACCACAUUUCAUUGCCGUGAUCAUUGAUAGUACAGAUGCCAACGGCGCACAGAUGAACAGCAGACAGAAAGUCGAUAGUUCCUCAUCACAGAAUACCUCUGUUCACAGCCACGACCCCACGACCCACCAAGCAUAGCAAGGUCCUCUCUGUUUUGCCUCUACACCUCGUUGGGGAGGUAAUAGCAUCCCAGGUCCUGAACUUGCAUGUCAGGUGAUGCUUUAGUCCUUGUACUUGAAAAAGCUGAUUAUUUCAUCGCUCAACUUGCAAUGGAUGUGCAAAUUUAGUCCACAGUCACUCACAGCUCGCCAAGUGGAUGCCAAGUGGCCUGGCUGGUCAGCGCGCUGCAUUUUUCACAUAGCCCCCUGCCUUCUUGCCUUAUCAACCCGCAGUACUUCACCUGAGUUAAUUUGUCGGCUCAAGGGUAUAUUCCUUUGGCAUAUCCUAUCCUGUCGGCUCUCUCCUAUCCACUCGCCUAUCUGCUUCUUCUUCUUCAGCUCGUCUGCUCCAGAUCGCCGCCGCCGUCCAUCUCGACACCGCCUUGCAGCUCGCGGCCAUGGUUUCUUGGAGUGAAGGAUCCAGCUCGUCGUUGGAAGGCUACUCUGUGACAAGUGAGGUUAGUUCGUCCACCUCCAGUUAGGGUUAGGGAUCCUACUGCUAAGAAAUGGUCAAUGUUGUGCUGACAAGAAUGUGUUGUAGGCUCCUGCUGCUGCCACUAUCUUCUGCUCAGAGUGGAGUGGCCUUGCUCCAGAUCUCUCAGUUAGAUGUGAACACCAAUGCGUCUGUGAGAAGUUUGUGUCCUUUGAAUCUGUUGACAGUGGUAGAAGGUAUCUUGCUUGUGCACGGAAGGUUAGUAGAUUUAUAGUUAUUGGAAUGUGUCAUGUCACUUUGAUCUGUAUAAGAGUGCAGCAAUAUAGUUAACAGAAGAAAUCUGUAGUUAGUUAACUUAAUUUUUCAUUUGACUGAAGAUAAUUGCAGCUAUAUCCAAAUUCAGUUGCCUGAAGAAAACUGCAGUAUGUUAACUGAACUUUUCAGUUAACAUCUUUUUUUAUCUAAAGUUGUAUUCUUUUCUUAUUUGGUAGGAAAUUCCUAAAUGCAACUUUGUGGAGUGGAUUGACCCUGAAUGGCCUGCCACUCUGAAGAUGAGUUUAGCUAGGGUUUGGGGCAUGUAUGAUGAUGAGAACAAGCUAAGGCUCAGGGAAAGUGUAGUUCUUGCUGAAGAAAAUUUUAGGGUUCUGAAAGAGAAGGAAAAGAUGGAAAAUGAUCUGAGGUUUUUUAAGCUAGAUUUUGCUAAGAUGGUGGGUGACAAGGAGCAGGCAAUUAUUGAAUUGGGCAAUGCAAGACUUGCUCUUUCUGACCUAAAGGAAGAGCUUGAGAAGAAAAAGAUGUCUGAUAAAUCUACCACUAGCAUUCAUCAGGUUGUGAGGGCUAAGGCAGAGAAAGAGAGGGAUGAGAUGAAGAAACAGAUGGACAGCAUGAAGGAAGAGUUGGACAAAGUGGUGUCACAGAGGGAUGAGUUGAAGAAGGAGAAGAAGCAACUAGAGUACAUGAUUGGUGAUCUAUUCAGGCACAAGGAGGAGACCAAGAGCAAGAUAAGGAGGGUGAAGGAGAUCUUAGAUGAAUUUGAGUAAUUCAUUCAAGAAGAUCUAUUAAUUAGUUGUAUUGAAUUUGUUGGUUUAAUGCCAGUAUUAUGUAAUGCACUUAAUUUGUAUGAAUGCUUUUAGUUAACUAAAUCUGUAUGACUGCUUUUAUUGUUACUAGUUAUCUGAAUGUCUCCAGAUAAGUGCAAUUUUUACAGUGUCAAUUAACUUAGUUUGUAGUUAACUGAAGUUCACUUAUCUGAAGAUUCAGUUAACUGAAUGUAAAUGAUAUAUCUUUAGUUAAACACAAAUUGAGUUUUCUGAAGAUUCAGUUAACUGGAUGUACAUGAUAUAUCUUCAGUUAAACACAAAUUGAGUUAUCUGAAGAUUCAGUUAACUGGAUUUAAAUGAGAAAUCUUCAGUUAAACACAAAUUGAAUUAUCUAAAGAUUCAGUUAACUGGAUUUAAAUGAUAAAUCUUCAGUUAACCACAAAUUCAGUUAUCUGAAGAAUUUAGUUAACUGAAUUUUACUGAGAAAUCUUUAGUUAACUACAAAUUGAGUUAUCUGAAGAUCACAACUUAACUGAAUUUUAAUGAGAAAUCAUUAGUUAACUACAAAUUCAGUUAUCUAUAUCUUCAGUUAACUGUUGCAUUGCAAAGCAACAUUGCAAAGCAGCAGCAACAUUGCAAAGCAGCAGCAGCAGCAACAACAACAUUGCAAAGCAACAACAGAAUGCCCUACAUAACUGUUGCAUUCUUUCUUUGCAAAGUUGUAGCUACAGACCACAUUAUAACAGAGCAUUUGUAACAGCAGCAGCACCAGCAAAUCAAAGCAUGAUAACAAGAUAGGCAUAGCAAAGCAGAUUUACUAUAUAGAUAGCAUGCAGAUGUCCUAAACAUUGCAGGAUUGUUCAAACAAUAUAGCAGAAGUGCAACAUUACAAUUAACUUAUGUGCUCUGCAUAUAUAGAGCACACCUAACAUAAACUAACCAAAAUAUCACUAACUUAUAUGCUGAAUUUUCUUGCUAGUCAGCAUACCUAACUACUGCAUCAUCUUCUUGUCCAUCAUCUUCAGUUCAGUUGUUCAGGUGCUUCAGGCGCUCCGAGCGGCGCACCUCCCCUGCAAAUGGCCUUUUCUUCGUCUUCUCCAGCUUCUGUGGUGCCGUUGCCACCUUCUCCUCUUCUGCCUCAUCCAUCACCUCCUGCUUGACGAUGUCUGUCACAUCUGGGAGCACCUCCACGUCAAUUGGGAGGUCUCUGUCGCCCUCAUUGGCGUUGUGGACUGGCGCCAUCAUCUGGAUCUCGUCCUCUUCCUCCUCUUCCUCGUCGUCCUACAGGACAACGACGGACACCUCCUCAUCGCCAGACGAGGCAUACGACGCAGAGGAGUCAGAAUCCCCUCUGUAGCCCGAGUCGUUGUCGGAGUCCACCUUGCAGUACUCCGAGUCGGACGACAGAGAGACGUCGUUGUCGUCGACGUGCACGAGGGGCACCGGCGCAGGCAGGGCCAGAACCACAUCGUGGACGCGCUGCAUCCUCGACCACAUGCGCGUCGGAUCCGACUGCGGCUGCUGCAUGGUGGCGGACCUAUACAUCCACCAACGCCAGCGCUGCCUCGGAUUGUCGGAGCGCGUCUCCGCCAUUGCGAAGCGGAAGAUGUUGGCCGGAUGCGUACCUGGGCCGUCCACGAGAGCGCGCCUCUUCUCGUCGUCGGUCAUCUGCUCGAUGAGGCCCCGCGCGUGGUUCCUAAGCAUGUCGAUGUUGAGGAACCACCGGCCUAUCUCCUGGAGCUCCGCGCGCGACCUGGUCGUCUCCUGCCAGCUCGUCGACCAUCCUCUGCCAUGCAGGGUGGCUGUCCAUGGCGUCAGCGGCGGCGUCGAGAUGGCCGGCGAGGGUUUUCUUCUUAGGUGGAGUGGGAGGUGGGGCGCGUAGAGCCCGAGGCGUCGUGAAACGGUAGUGGUGAGUGGGGGCGGUGGGUGGUGGGUGGUGGCCUCUUAAUAGAGAUGGAAGAGCGAACGGCACCGCUCUGACCAGCAUGUACAGUUUAUCUCACUAUAAUAAACGUGGCAAUUAGUAUCUAGCAGAUCACUAUUACUAGCGCGUUGGCAUGGAGCUCAGCCUAUCACACACAGGGUCCUGGGCUCGAUCCCCAGGACAAACAUUUUUUUGGGAAAAUUAUUUUUAGUUCACAGCAGCAGUAUUCACUCCAAAAUAUAUCAUGAUUUUGUUAACCCAGCACCUAUUUUUGAAGAUAUUUUUUAAACCUGAAUUUCAGAUAAAAACAACAAUGUUCACAGCAGUAGUACUAACUGAAAGCAGCAAUGUUCAGAUAAAAACCUGGAUUAUCUACAACCUAACAAAUCACUACUAUUACUCUACUGGCAUUGUUCUCAACGAUUGUAACAAUAGGUCCUGGGUUCGAGCCCUAGGCACACCAUUUUUUUUAAUUUUUUCACAAUCAUUUAGGUUACUCACACUAGUAGAAAAAGGGUCAAACGUGAAGCACAUUAGUGCCGGUUUGUAUUUGAGCCGGCACUAAUGUGCACAUUAGUGCCGGUUCGUGGCGACGAUCAAUAGUACCGGUUCGUGGCGAACCUUUAGUACCGGUUCGUGGCAUGAACCGGUACUAAAAAUGCUGUGUCAUCCUGCGGUCAGGCUAUGGCCCCACCAUCACCAUUUAGUGCCGGUUCGUACCACGAACCGGUACUAAUGAGCGGUGCCGGUUACGGCAAGCUGUUUUUAGUCCCACCUCGCCAAGAGAGAGGCAGUAUGAGCGGUUUAUAAGCCGUGAGUGCACAGACAAUGACGAAGAGUUGCAAUGCUCACCUACAUGUUGAUCUGCUUCAAGCCUUGCGGAAUAGCAUAGAUUGCACUAAGCUAUGUGCAGUGGCUUAGUGCAAUCUACACUAUUCCGAAUGGUUUGAAGCAAAUUAACCAACAUUGCACCUCUUUUUUAUUUUUAAUAACUUAUUUAAACUCCGGACUUCUUUUGUGUUCAGUAUGCAACAUUUAAAGCUUGUUAUGCCUCAAGGUUGUUGUGGUUUGGAAAUUAUGGAUUUGACAACCAUGAAUCAUAGCUUUUUGUGUAAGUGACUUGGGAAACUCAAGUUUGGCAAACUCUAUUGACUAGUAGAAAAACGGUCAAAUGUGAAGCACAUUAUAGUGCCGGUUUGAAUUUGAGCCGGCACGAAUGUGACCAUUAGUGCCGAUUCCAACGGCUAGGCGGGCUGCUACCAUUAGUACUGGUUCGUUGCCAAUCUUUAGCACCGGUUCGUGGCACGAACCGAUACUAAUGUGCAUCCCACCAAUCAGGAAGAAUCACACGGAUCGUGUGUUUCUUUCUAGCUCUUGCGAGUCGUUGGAUCAAGGGUGUGUUUCUUCCUAGCUCAUGUGAGUCGUUGGAUCGAAACUACCGCAAUCACUUUGUGAGCCAGACAACCCUAUAUAUAGCCCAUCUCUCGCCUUCCCUGCAUAAGUCUUUCAGUUCAUCGAGUACAUACAUCUACCAGUUCAUCGACUGCAUACUUCUACCAGUUCAUCGACUGAAUAUAAAUCAUUCAGAUUCGCCAUCAUACGCCCAACCGUGCAUUUGAAAUGCAUAUAUAUGCAUCACGAGCCACGGUAGGGCUGUAUGAUGGCGAUACCGAUUGGUUUGUUCUAGAUCCGACAUAAAAGGUUUGAUACAACUUCUUUUUUGUGACAUAAGAUCUAACAUUGUUGCUUCUAGUAGUUCUCUUGAUUCCACUAAUGAUUCUCUUAGCCAAGUUACACUUGAGCAAGAAAAUAGCUUAUUGAAGGGAAGAAUCAAGGUGUUGGUUUUGAACGAAAGUUCAAUGCCAAUGGAGUUGAGUGGGAAGAAGAUCAAUACCCCAAGACAAAGUUUGUUCCUCAACAAGAGAAGUAUCCUACUUCCUUCAAGGGGACACAAGCUCAAGAUGAUCUUCUACAUGUUGAUUAGCUUCAAGCCUUGCGGAAUAGCAUAGAUUGCACUGAGCUAUGUGCAGUGCAGUCUACACUAUUCCGAAUGGCUUGAAGCAAAUUAACCAGCAUUGCACCUCUGUUACAUGGCCACUUCAAUGUGUUUUAAACUUAUUUGAACUCCGGACUUCUUUUGUGUUCAGUAUGCAGCAUUUAAAGCGACGUCAUCAAUAUCCAACAUGUUCUGACAUCAUUUGUUGUUUUUUGGUCAUUUACCUAAUUGUUUAGAGAGCUAAAUGACCGUGAAAUUGAAAAUCACUCCAAAAUGAAUCCUGAAAAUGUUGAAACUUGGCAUGGUAUCAUCAUAUCUCCCGCAUAGCAUGCGCGAAAGAGUAGAGAGGGUCACGGCAAAAACUGGACGCACUUCGUGUACAAACUGGACCUACUCUUUCCGAGUAUCAGGGUUUCGGACGAGAACUCAUCUGUUACAUGGCCACUUCAAUGUUUUUUAAACUUAUUUGAACUCCGGACUUCUUUUGUGUUCAGUAUGCAGCAUUUAAAGCGACGUCAUCAAUUUUCAACAUGUUCUGACAUCAUUUGUUGUUUUUCGGUCAUUUACCUAAUUGUUUAGAGAGCUAAAUGACCGUGAAAUUGAAAAUCACUACAAAAUGAAUCCUGAAAAUGUUGAAACUUGGCAUGGUAUCAUCGUAUCACCCGCAAACAUGCGCGAAAGAGUAGAGAGGGUCACGGCAAAAACUGGACGCACUUCGUGUACAAACUGAACAAACUCUUUCCGAGUAUCAGGGUUUCGGACUAUGCAAAAAUAAUUAAUGCAGAAAAUAAAAGAACUAUACAAAAAAAUUACUCAAAAAUAAAUAGAAGAAAAUAAAUAAUGCAGAAAAAAAACUAUAUAAAAACUACUCAAAAAUAAAUAAAUAAAAAUAAGUAAUGCAGAAAAGAAAAAACUAUAUAGCAAAUUUGUUGGCGCACUGCCCUGUGGGUCUACCAGACCUAGGGUGUGCA
Molecule: long non-coding RNA, 9516 nt
Filed under: Triticum aestivum (bread wheat)
Lineage: Eukaryota; Viridiplantae; Streptophyta; Magnoliopsida; Poales; Poaceae
Description: long non-coding RNA (TAES_LNC021599)
Rfam family: MIR9666 microRNA precursor family (bases 8129-8226)
Source: RNAcentral